RNAcentral lists this ribosomal RNA (301 nucleotides) under uncultured bacterium. RNAcentral describes it as "partial 16S ribosomal RNA". It matches the Rfam family "Bacterial small subunit ribosomal RNA", at positions 509 to 807 of the family's 1533-position model. The record is from RNAcentral.
CAGUCGCCACGGGAAUACGUAGGUGGCAAGCGUUGUCCGGAAUUAUUGGGCGUAAAGGGCUCGCAGGCGGUUUCUUAAGUCUGAUGUGAAAGCCCCCGGCUCAACCGGGGAGGGUCAUUGGAAACUGGGAAACUUGAGUGCAGAAGAGGAGAGUGGAAUUCCACGUGUAGCGGUGAAAUGCGUAGAGAUGUGGAGGAACACCAGUGGCGAAGGCGACUCUCUGGUCUGUAACUGACGCUGAGGAGCGAAAGCGUGGGGAGCGAACAGGAUUAGAUACCCGUGUAGUCCCUGUCUCUUAUAC